GGAGGUAUCAGAAGUGCGAAUGCUGACGUGAGUAACGACAAAACGGGUGAAAAACCCGUUCGCCGAAAGACCAAGGGUUCCAGUCCAACGUUAAUCGGGGCUGGGUGAGUCGACCCCUAAGGCGAGGCCGAAAGGCGUAGUCGAUGGGAAAAUGGUUAAUAUUCCAUUACUUCUGUGUAAUGCGAUGAGAGGACGGAGAAGG
RNAcentral lists this ribosomal RNA (202 nucleotides) under Acinetobacter baumannii. RNAcentral describes it as "partial 23S ribosomal RNA". It matches the Rfam family "Bacterial large subunit ribosomal RNA", at positions 1275 to 1481 of the family's 2925-position model. The record is from RNAcentral. Lineage: Bacteria; Pseudomonadati; Pseudomonadota; Gammaproteobacteria; Moraxellales; Moraxellaceae.